This 445-nucleotide ribosomal RNA is filed under the name uncultured bacterium. Its description in RNAcentral is "partial 16S ribosomal RNA". It matches the Rfam family "Bacterial small subunit ribosomal RNA", at positions 354 to 796 of the family's 1533-position model. The record is from RNAcentral.
GUGAGGAAUAUUGGUCAAUGGGCGGGAGCCUGAACCAGCCAAGUCGCGUGAAGGAAGAAGGAUCUAUGGUACGUAAACUUCUUUUGCAGGGGAAUAAAGUGCAGGACGUGUCCUGUUUUGUAUGUACCCUGAGAAUAAGGAUCGGCUAACUCCGUGCCAGCAGCCGCGGUAAUACGGAGGAUCCGAGCGUUAUCCGGAUUUAUUGGGUUUAAAGGGUGCGUAGGUGGAUUGAUAAGUCAGCGGUGAAAGUUUGCAGCUUAACUGUAAAAUUGCCGUUGAAACUGUCGGUCUUGAGUGCAAAUGAGGUAGGCGGAAUGUGUUGUGUAGCGGUGAAAUGCAUAGAUAUCACGCAGAACUGCGAUUGCGAAGGCAGCUUACUAAGCUACAACUGACACUGAAGCACGAAAGCGUGGGGAUCAAACAGGAUUAGAUACCCCUGUAGUCC